UGUGGGAUGGAGCAGUUGGUAGCUCGUUAGGCUAUAACCUAAAGGUCGUUGGUUCAAGUCCAACUCCCGCAA
This 72-nucleotide transfer RNA is filed under the name Caudoviricetes sp. RNAcentral describes it as "tRNA-OTHER". It matches the Rfam family "tRNA". From Rfam's summary of the family: Transfer RNA (tRNA) molecules are approximately 80 nucleotides in length. Their secondary structure includes four short double-helical elements and three loops (D, anti-codon, and T loops). Lineage: Duplodnaviria; Heunggongvirae; Uroviricota; Caudoviricetes. The record is from RNAcentral.